This 859-nucleotide ribosomal RNA is filed under the name uncultured Gammaproteobacteria bacterium. RNAcentral's name for it is "bacterial SSU rRNA". It matches the Rfam family "Bacterial small subunit ribosomal RNA", at positions 33 to 889 of the family's 1533-position model. The record is from RNAcentral. Lineage: Bacteria; Pseudomonadati; Pseudomonadota; Gammaproteobacteria.
ACGCUGGCGGCAGCCCUUACACAUGCAAGUCGAGCGAGAAAGUUUCUUCGGAAACGAGUAAAGCGGCGGACGGGUGAGUAACGCGUAGGAAUCUACCAUUCAGUGGGGGAUAGCUCGGGGAAACCCGAAUUAAUACCGCAUAUACCCUAAGGGGGAAAGAGGGCCUAUCCUUGGAAGCUCUUGCUGUUUGAUGAGCCUGCGUGAGAUUAGUUUGUUGGUGAGGUAAUGGCUCACCAAGGCUACGAUCUCUAGCUGGUCUGAGAGGACGAUCAGCCACACUGGGACUGAGACACGGCCCAGACUCCUACGGGAGGCAGCAGUGGGGAAUAUUGGACAAUGGGGGCAACCCUGAUCCAGGCAUGCCGCGUGUGUGAAGAAGGCCUUCGGGUUGUAAAGCACUUUAGGUAAGGAAGAAAAGUCAUUGGUUAAUACCCAAUGACCAUGACAUUACUUACAGAAUAAGGACCGGCUAACUCCGUGCCAGCAGCCGCGGUAAUACGGAGGGUCCAAGCGUUAAUCGGAAUUACUGGGCGUAAAGCGCGCGUAGGCGGUUUGACAAGUUGGGUGUGAAAUCCCCGGGCUUAACCUGGGAACUGCAUUCAAAACUUUUAAACUGGAGUACGGGAGAGGAGAGUAGAAUUCAUGGUGUAGCGGUGAAAUGCGUAGAUAUCAUGAGGAAUACCAAUGGCGAAGGCAACUCUCUGGACCGUAACUGACGCUGAGGUGCGAAAGCGUGGGUAGCAAACAGGAUUAGAUACCCUGGUAGUCCACGCCGUAAACGAUGACAACUAGCCGUUGGACUUUCGGGUUCAGUGGCACAGCUAACGCAUUAAGUUGUCCGCCUGGGGAGUACGGCCGC